This 76-nucleotide transfer RNA is filed under the name Friedmanniella luteola. RNAcentral describes it as "tRNA_Trp_CCA". It matches the Rfam family "tRNA". From Rfam's summary of the family: Transfer RNA (tRNA) molecules are approximately 80 nucleotides in length. Their secondary structure includes four short double-helical elements and three loops (D, anti-codon, and T loops). RNAcentral also lists the same sequence under 1 other name. The record is from RNAcentral. Lineage: Bacteria; Bacillati; Actinomycetota; Actinomycetes; Propionibacteriales; Nocardioidaceae.
AGGGCAAUAGCUCAACUGGCAGAGCAUCGGUCUCCAAAACCGAAGGUUGGGGGUUCAAGUCCCUCUUGCCCUGCGA